AUGCACGCUGGCGGCGUGCCUAAUACAUGCAAGUCGAGCGAACAGAUGAGGAGCUUGCUCCUCUGACGUUAGCGGCGGACGGGUGAGUAACACGUGGAUAACCUACCUAUAAGACUGGGAUAACUUCGGGAAACCGGAGCUAAUACCGGAUAAUAUAUUGAACCGCAUGGUUCAAUAGUGAAAGACGGUUUUGCUGUCACUUAUAGAUGGAUCCGCGCCGCAUUAGCUAGUUGGUAAGGUAACGGCUUACCAAGGCAACGAUGCGUAGCCGACCUGAGAGGGUGAUCGGCCACACUAGAACUGAGACACGGUCCAGACUCCUACGGGAGGCAGCAGUAGGCAAUCUGCCGCAAUGGGCGAAAGCCUGACGGAGCAACGCCGCGUGAGUGAUGAAGGUCUUCGGAUCGUAAAACUCUGUUAUUAGGGAAGAACAAAUGUGUAAGUAACUAUGCACGUCUUGACGGUACCUAAUCAGAAAGCCACGGCUAACUACGUG
This 496-nucleotide ribosomal RNA is filed under the name uncultured bacterium. RNAcentral's name for it is "partial 16S ribosomal RNA". It matches the Rfam family "Bacterial small subunit ribosomal RNA", at positions 29 to 507 of the family's 1533-position model. The record is from RNAcentral.